This 458-nucleotide ribosomal RNA is filed under the name uncultured bacterium. Its description in RNAcentral is "partial 16S ribosomal RNA". It matches the Rfam family "Bacterial small subunit ribosomal RNA", at positions 338 to 795 of the family's 1533-position model. The record is from RNAcentral.
CCUACGGGGGGCAGCAGUGGGGAAUAUUGCACAAUGGGGGAAACCCUGAUGCAGCGACGCCGCGUGAGUGAAGAAGUAAUUCGUUACGUAAAGCUCUAUCAGCAGGGAAGAAACACUUACCUUACGGUCAGCAGACGGUACCUGAGUAAGAAGCCCCGGCUAACUACGUGCCAGCAGCCGCGGGAAGACGUAGGGGGCAAGCGUUAUCCGGAUUUACUGGGUGUAAAGGGAGCGUAGUCGGUGCGCCAAGUCUGAAGUGAAAUGCCGCGGCUUAACUGCGGAACUGCUUUGGAAACUGGCGAACUAGAGUGCGGGAGGGGUAAGCGGAAUUCCUAGUGUAGCGGUGAAAUGCGUAGAUAUUAGGAGGAACACCGGUGGCGAAGGCGGCUUACUGGACCGUAACUGACGUUGAGGCUCGAAAGCGUGGGGAGCAAACAGGAUUAGAUACCCGGGUAGUC